UACUCUUAAUGUAUAUAUAUGUUUUUAAAAUAUAACACUUUUGGACCUUGGACUUAAAGUGGUAAUGCAUGGAAACUUGAUCUCGUCAUUAUAUGGCUGGAAUAAUGCCGAUGUGACGUAAAGCACAACUCAACUCAACUUAUAUUAU
Long non-coding RNA from Haliotis rubra (blacklip abalone), 148 nucleotides. RefSeq lists it as uncharacterized. Lineage: Eukaryota; Metazoa; Mollusca; Gastropoda; Lepetellida; Haliotidae. The record is from RefSeq and is a predicted model, not a curated record. The transcript is spliced from 3 exons.